UUUUCUCUUGGAAAAACAAAUUGGAAUCACCUUUUUUAAGAGAAAGUCAGAAUUCUAAGAUGAACUUUUAAGCCAUUAACUUUUUAAUUACUUUGUUCUGUGGCGGAAACAAGCUCCCAAAUGCAUCGCUGUAAAUCUCCAUUGCCAUCGUCAGUGUGAGUGUGUCGGGCAGUAAAGGGUGAAGUGAGGCUGAGAGCUGAACUGCUGACAUUUGCCCACAGCAGAGCCGCGUCUGUGCAUGACUCUCUGUUACUGUCUGUCCAAAUGCCACAGAGAAUCCGAUUAAAGCUUAUCAAUGGCUGCUAUUAUAACACCACACAUCCCAAUCAAACCUGCCACAUUAGCAGAGGAACACUGCCAUGCUUUCACUGCGUGUGUGUGCGAGUUAUUUUAGAGGAAGGUAGUGCAGCUGAAAUUGAAAGAGCACAUUGAGGCGCACACAGAUGUAAUCAAAUCUGCUUGAUUCAUAUGACUGGUUUGCUGGCAUUCCCAGCCAUCAGUUUCCCAAUACUGUGCAGUCAGAGAGAAACAGAGAGAGAAAGAAAGAAAGCAGAGGCUCUGUGUUAAACAACAGGAACAAGCCUCGUUCUCUCUGAUAUCAACAAGAAUGUUGGCCGAAUGGAGUUGGGUUAGAAAACAAAAAUGUGACACUGACCUUCAUCUUACUAUAUGAUACAUUCUUCAUUUAAAAACACCCUACUGACACUCUCACAAUGCUGCCGUGUUUUUAGUGGUUAAGUUGAUCUGAAUGAUUGGUAACAUGAGGUUGCUUGGACGUUCUGGGUGGUUGCCAGGGUGUUGCUAUGCAGUUAUUAAUGUAGUCUGAAUGGUUGUCAACAUGUAGUUGCUAAGGUGUUCUGGGUGGUUGCCAGGGUGUUGCUAUGCAGUUAUUAAUAUAGUCUGAAUGGUUGUCAACAUGUGGUUGCUAAGGUGUUCUGGGUGGUUGCCAGGGUGUUGCUAUGCAGUUAUUAAUGUAGUCUGAAUGGUUGUCAACAUGUGGUUGCUAAGGUGUUCUGGGUGGUUGCCAGGGUGUUGCUAUGCAGUUAUUAAUAUAGUCUGAAUGGUUGUCAACAUGUGGUUGCUAAGGUGUUCUGGGUGGUUGCCAGGGUGUUGCUAUGCAGUUAUUAAUAUAGUCUGAAUGGUUGUCAACAUGUGGUUGCUAAGGUGUUCUGGGUGGUUGCCAGGGUGUUGCUAUGCAGUUAUUAAUGUAGUCUGAAUGGUUGUCAACAUGUGGUUGCUAAGGUGUUCUGGGUGGUUGCCAGGGUGUUGCUAUGCAGUUAUUAAUAUAGUCUGAAUGGUUGUCAACAUGUGGUUGCUAAGGUGUUCUGGGUGGUUGCCAGGGUGUUGCUAUGCGGUCAGUAAGGUGUUCUGAAUGGUUGUUACCAUGAGGUUGCUAUGUUGUUCUAGGUAGUUGCUAGGGUGUUGCUAUGCAAUUAUUAAUGUAGUCUGAAUGGUUGUUAACAUAUGGUUGCCAAGGUGUUCUGGGUGGUUGCUAGGGUGUUGCUAUGCAGUCAUUAAGGUGUUCUGAAUUGUUUUUAACAUGUGGUUGCUUCUUGGUUGUUGCCAGGGUGUUGCUAUGCAGUUAUUAAUGUAGUCUGAAUGGUUGUCAACAUGUAGUUGCUAAGGUGUUCUGGGUGGUUGCCAGGGUGUUGCUAUGCAGUUAUUAAUGUAGUCUGAAUGGUUGUCAACAUGUGGUUGCUAAGGUGUUCUGGGUGGUUGCCAGGGUGUUGCUAUGCAGUCAGUAAGGUGUUCUGAAUGGUUGUUACCAUGAGGUUGCUAUGUUGUUCUAGGUAGUUGCUAGGGUGUUGCUAUGCAAUUAUUAAUGUAGUCUGAAUGGUUGUUAACAUAUGGUUGCCAAGGUGUUCUGGGUGGUUGCUAGGGUGUUGCUAUGCAGUCAUUAAGGUGUUCUGAAUUGUUGUUAACAUGUGGUUGCCAAGGU
Labeo rohita (rohu) is the source of this 1939-nucleotide long non-coding RNA. RefSeq lists it as uncharacterized. Lineage: Eukaryota; Metazoa; Chordata; Actinopteri; Cypriniformes; Cyprinidae. The record is from RefSeq and is a predicted model, not a curated record. The transcript is spliced from 3 exons.